RNAcentral lists this ribosomal RNA (827 nucleotides) under Alternaria sp. RNAcentral describes it as "partial large subunit ribosomal RNA". It matches the Rfam family "Eukaryotic large subunit ribosomal RNA", at positions 66 to 911 of the family's 3401-position model. Lineage: Eukaryota; Fungi; Ascomycota; Dothideomycetes; Pleosporales; Pleosporaceae. The record is from RNAcentral.
CAACAGGGAUUGCCCUAGUAACGGCGAGUGAAGCGGCAACAGCUCAAAUUUGAAAUCUGGCUCUUUUAGAGUCCGAGUUGUAAUUUGCAGAGGGCGCUUUGGCUUUGGCAGCGGUCCAAGUUCCUUGGAACAGGACGUCACAGAGGGUGAGAAUCCCGUACGUGGUCGCUGGCUAUUGCCGUGUAAAGCCCCUUCGACGAGUCGAGUUGUUUGGGAAUGCAGCUCUAAAUGGGAGGUACAUUUCUUCUAAAGCUAAAUAUUGGCCAGAGACCGAUAGCGCACAAGUAGAGUGAUCGAAAGAUGAAAAGCACUUUGGAAAGAGAGUCAAACAGCACGUGAAAUUGUUGAAAGGGAAGCGCUUGCAGCCAGACUUGCUUACAGUUGCUCAUCCGGGUUUUUACCCGGUGCACUCUUCUGUAGGCAGGCCAGCAUCAGUUUGGGCGGUAGGAUAAAGGUCUCUGUCACGUACCUCCUUUCGGGGAGGCCUUAUAGGGGAGACGACAUACUACCAGCCUGGACUGAGGUCCGCGCAUCUGCUAGGAUGCUGGCGUAAUGGCUGUAAGCGGCCCGUCUUGAAACACGGACCAAGGAGUCUAACAUCUAUGCGAGUGUUUGGGUGUCAAGCCCGAGCGCGUAAUGAAAGUGAACGGAGGUGGGAACCCGCAAGGGUGCACCAUCGACCGAUCCUGAUGUCUUCGGAAGGAUUUGAGUAAGAGCAUGGCUGUUGGGACCCGAAAGAUGGUGAACUAUGCUUGAAUAGGGUGAAGCCAGAGGAAACUCUGGUGGAGGCUCGCAGCGGUUCUGACGUGCAAAUCGAUCGUCAAAUU